This 189-nucleotide ribosomal RNA is filed under the name uncultured Staphylococcus sp. RNAcentral describes it as "partial 16S ribosomal RNA". It matches the Rfam family "Bacterial small subunit ribosomal RNA", at positions 151 to 334 of the family's 1533-position model. Lineage: Bacteria; Bacillati; Bacillota; Bacilli; Caryophanales; Staphylococcaceae. The record is from RNAcentral.
GGGAAACCGGAGCUAAUACCGGAUAAUAUUUUGAACCGCAUGGUUCAAAAGUGAAAGACGGUCUUGCUGUCACUUAUAGAUGGAUCCGCGCUGCAUUAGCUAGUUGGUAAGGUAACGGCUUACCAAGGCAACGAUGCAUAGCCGACCUGAGAGGGCGAUCGGCCACACUGGAACUGAGACACGGUCCAG